CUUCCUCCUCCGGUCUGCCUCCUUAUAAGGGCAAAGGAAGCUGAAUAAACGGAAAUGGGGAACUCCUAGGGGUGCAACUCAGCUUACACUCCUUGAAGUGAGCAGCCGUUUGCACUGGAAAGUCUGCAACAUGUUGAGCAAAUAUGACACGGGUAUCAUUUUGAGCUGUGGAUAAGGACGACACGUGGAGGAAAUAUUAGCCAUGUUCUUCUCAAUGUCUUUCAGAGCUGUGCCAGCUACGGAGACAUUGUGUUUGGACUGAAAGAGACUUAGAUGGGACAGCGUGGUUGGGUCUGUCCUUGUGGGAAUGUACAUACUUGGAGGAUGGGAGAUAUUUGAGAUGACGCGAGACAUUUGUGGUCAAGGCAGCCAGUGACGCAAGAGCACUGAGAAUGUCUUUCCUCUUUCACCCUCUGAUAAAACUACAGCACUGUUGGGAACACCGAUAACUUGAAAAUUCAUAUUUUUUAUGGAAUAUUGUAGUGUU
Pimephales promelas (fathead minnow) is the source of this 487-nucleotide non-coding RNA. Lineage: Eukaryota; Metazoa; Chordata; Actinopteri; Cypriniformes; Leuciscidae. The record is from RefSeq and is a predicted model, not a curated record.